UACGAAGGGGGCUAGCGUUGUUCGGAUUUACUGGGCGUAAAGCGCACGUAGGCGGUUUGUUAAGUCAGGGGUGAAAUCCCGGAGCUCAACUCCGGAACUGCCUUUGAUACUGGCAGCUAGAGUCCGGAAGAGGUAAGUGGAACUCCUAGUGUAGAGGUGGAAUUCGUAGAUAUUAGGAAGAACACCAGUGGCGAAGGCGGCUUACUGGUCCGGAACUGACGCU
Molecule: ribosomal RNA, 223 nt
Filed under: uncultured bacterium
Lineage: Bacteria
Description: partial 16S ribosomal RNA
Rfam family: Bacterial small subunit ribosomal RNA
Source: RNAcentral